AGCCCGACACGAGGCUCAAACUCACGAACCGUGAGAUCAUGACCUGAGCCUAAAUUGGACGCUUAACUGACUGAGCCACCUGGGCGCCCCUGAUUGUUGGUUUUAAUGCAGUGUCGAAGGUGGAAAAAAGAUGGCUUCCAAAUUCUAAGUGGAGGAAGGGCACUGCUGGUCACAUUAAGUCAUGAUGCUCGUUAAUUCACUUUUAUUCACCGAUUAUGCAAAGGUGUUUGUUGAAAUCCGGCUAGUAAAUUUCCAUUCCAUCUUCUCUCAUGGCGGACUAAUGCAAACUAAUUGAAACAUGUUACAAAUUUUAUGUUUUUUAACCAAGGACUUUAAAGCACUCAAACUCUUCACUUGGAAAGUUUUGAGCAAGUUAUAAAAGCAUCUCCAAGACUGUUUGAGCAACGUUUACAUGGUUCUUGGCCAAGAGCUGACCUAAGCCCAGCAACACUUCCAAACAUCCUUUUCUGAAAGGCCCUUUCCUUGUCUGUAGUCUUGCCUUGGUUCCCCCACUUGGAGCCCUCUGCCCUCAGUAAUGGUGCAGAGCAAGGGUGGAGUAGGUUCUGGUGUGCAACUCUGUAGCUAGCUGCCUGCUCUCCUGCCUGCUGCCUGCUGUAGACACAUGGUCUCACUGCCCGCCCCUUUCCCGCAGCCCCUCGAGAUCCCAGAGGUUCUGGAGGGGAACAGAGAGGAGCUGAAUGGCGAGCAAUAAAAAUAGUGCCAGUGACUCACUGCACUUUAUUGCUGCAGUGCCCUUUCCGCAGAACCACCAAGAUAGCCUGGACAAUCUGACAGGAUCUCACAGCCUGUGGACACGGCCAUAUCGGCUUCAUGCCGGGAUGAUCAGCAAGGGGAAACUCGUGGGGAGAAGACACUCGUUAGAGUUAGGUGUGAUUUCAUGGCAUGAAAGCCCCAAAGGGAAGGUGAAUCAAGAGACUGUGGAACUCUCCAAAGUGUCCAUGACCCAUCCCCACCCUGACACUAAUACCGACACUGUCAGGGGCUCCAGGAGAAGACAGAAGAGAAGCAUGACGCUUGGAGCCUGGACGUCCUGUCUCUGACGCCAUCUCUGACUGCCGGCUCUCUUGCCAACCUCCCCACACUGGCAUUAACAUCCUGUUCUCCUCCAGACGCCAUCGAAGACCUGAGCUGGAGACCACGCCAAACAAUUCCAUGGCA
Long non-coding RNA from Leopardus geoffroyi (Geoffroy's cat), 1179 nucleotides. RefSeq lists it as uncharacterized. The record is from RefSeq and is a predicted model, not a curated record. Lineage: Eukaryota; Metazoa; Chordata; Mammalia; Carnivora; Felidae. The transcript is spliced from 3 exons.